AGUGAACGCUGGCGGUAGGCCUAACACAUGCAAGUCGAACGGCAGCACAGUAAGAGCUUGCUCUUACGGGUGGCGAGUGGCGGACGGGUGAGGAAUACAUCGGAAUCUACUUUUUCGUGGGGGAUAACGUAGGGAAACUUACGCUAAUACCGCACACGACCUACGGGUGAAAGCAGGGGAUCUUCGGACCUUGCGCGAUUGAAUGAGCCGAUGUCGGAUUAGCUAGUUGGCGGGGUAAAGGCCCACCAAGGCGACGAUCCGUAGCUGGUCUGAGAGGAUGAUCAGCCACACUGGAACUGAGACACGGUCCAGACUCCUACGGGAGGCAGCAGUGGGGAAUAUUGGACAAUGGGCGCAAGCCUGAUUCAGCCAUACCGCGUGGGUGAAGAAGGCCUUCGGGUUGUAAAGCCCUUUUGUUGGGAAAGAAAAGCAGCAGGUUAAUACCCCGCUGUUCUGACGGUACCCAAAGAAUAAGCACCGGCUAACUUCGUG
This 492-nucleotide ribosomal RNA is filed under the name uncultured bacterium. Its description in RNAcentral is "partial 16S ribosomal RNA". It matches the Rfam family "Bacterial small subunit ribosomal RNA", at positions 29 to 507 of the family's 1533-position model. The record is from RNAcentral.